UCCUCAAAGAAAAUUGAUAUUAACAGCACCACCAAAGGACUUGGUGGUUGGUACCCGAGACCCAAGUUCGAAUCCUAGUUGAUUCACAUUUCCAGCUAAGUUUAUUUCUAAAUGAAAUAAACGAAACGGGUAGCGUGCUAUCUAUCUCUCAAAUAAAACAGCACCAUUUUUUUUAUAAGAGCAGAGCAACUUCUAUUGUAUUAUCCGUCUUGCGUGAACAUAAAAGU
This 227-nucleotide long non-coding RNA is filed under the name Ananas comosus (pineapple). RNAcentral describes it as "long non-coding RNA (ACOM_LNC005212)". Lineage: Eukaryota; Viridiplantae; Streptophyta; Magnoliopsida; Poales; Bromeliaceae. The record is from RNAcentral.